RNAcentral lists this ribosomal RNA (562 nucleotides) under uncultured bacterium. Its description in RNAcentral is "bacterial SSU rRNA". It matches the Rfam family "Bacterial small subunit ribosomal RNA", at positions 76 to 652 of the family's 1533-position model. The record is from RNAcentral.
GUGACGGAAAUCUUAGAAAGUGGCGAACGGGUGAGUAACGCGUGGGUAACCUGCCCUAUGGAAAGGAAUAGCCUCGGGAAACUGGGAGUAAUGCCUUAUAAUAUAGUGAAGUCGCAUGGCUUUGCUAUUAAACGCUCCGGUGCCAUAGGAUGGACCCCGCGUCCCAUUAGCUAGUUGGUGAGAUAACAGCCCACCAAGGCGACGAUGGGUAACCGGUCUGAGAGGGCGAACGGUCACACUGGAACUGAGACACGGUCCAGACUCCUACGGGAGGCAGCAGUGGGGAAUAUUGCGCAAUGGGGGCAACCCUGACGCAGCAAUACCGCGUGAGUGAAGAAGGUUUUCGGAUCGUAAAGCUCUGUUAUUGGGGAAGAAAAAAAGACGGUACCCAAGAAGAAAGUCCCGGCUAACUACGUGCCAGCAGCCGCGGUAAUACGUAGGGGACAAGCGUUGUCCGGAUUUACUGGGCGUAAAGGGCACGCAGGCGGUUUUUAAGUCUAGAUGUGAAAGGUACCGGCUCAACCGGUGACAUGCAUUUGAAACUGAAAGACUUGAGUAUUGG